Molecule: ribosomal RNA, 446 nt
Filed under: uncultured bacterium
Lineage: Bacteria
Description: bacterial SSU rRNA
Rfam family: Bacterial small subunit ribosomal RNA
Source: RNAcentral
ACCAGACUCCUACGGGAGGCAGCAGUGGGGAAUAUUGGGCAAUGGGCGCAAGCCUGACCCAGCAACGCCGCGUGAAGGAAGAAGGCUUUCGGGUUGUAAACUUCUUUUCUGAGGGACGAUAGUGACGGUACCUCAGGAAUAAGCCACGGCUAACUACGUGCCAGCAGCCGCGGUAAUACGUAGGGGGCAAGCGUUAUCCGGAUUUACUGGGUGUAAAGGGAGCGUAGACGGCAGUGCAGGUCUGAAGUGAAAGCCCCGGGCUUAACCCGGGAAUUGCUUUGGAAACUGUACGGCUGGAGUGCUGGAGAGGUAAGCGGAAUUCCUAGUGUAGCGGUGAAAUGCGUAGAUAUUAGGAGGAACACCAGUGGCGAAGGCGGCUUACUGGACAGUAACUGACGUUGAGGCUCGAAAGCGUGGGGAGCAAACAGGAUUAGAUACCCUGGUAC